AAUGUCUUCAUUUUGUUGGACGCAAGUCUAAUAAAAAACCUAUUACAACUUUCAGCAACGGAUCUCUUGGCUCUCCCAUCGAUGAAGAACGCAGCGAAAUGCGAUAAGUAAUGUGAAUUGCAGAAUUCAGUGAAUCAUCGAAUCUUUGAACGCACCUUGCGCCCUUUGGUAUUCCGAAGGGCAUGCCUGUUUGAGUGUCAUUAAAUUCUCAACCUUAGUGAGCUUUGUUCAUCUAAGGCUUGGAUGUGAGGGUCUUUUGCUGGCUUCCUUCAGUGGCGGUCUGCUCCCUUUAAACGCAUUAGUGGGUCCUUUUUGUGGAUCGGUUUCACUUGGUGUGAUAAUAUAUCUACGCUUUGUGUUGCUAGUUGAAGCAAAAGAC
This 379-nucleotide ribosomal RNA is filed under the name uncultured fungus. RNAcentral's name for it is "eukaryotic LSU rRNA". The stretch from base 47 to 200 matches the Rfam family "5.8S ribosomal RNA". Lineage: Eukaryota; Fungi. The record is from RNAcentral.